CAUUCGCACCUGAAAAUUUCCCAUAAUUCACUGCGGCGAAAGACUGAUAAAUUUGCCGUCGCCGGGUUAUGACGUUCUUCGUGGAGACCAUUCCUUAGCGAUCGCCGUCCAGCACCGACAUGAGGGCUAAGUGGCGAAAGAAGCGCAUGCGCAGGCUGAAGCGCAAAAGGAGAAAGAUGAGGCAGAGGUCCAAGUAAACUGUCCCAUUCACCAUGGCUGUGACAUCACCAGAAACGUGACCAUUAAGCGCACUUGGAGACCUGUGAUGCACCUGAUGUCGUGUCUACGCCAGUGGCCUGUGUGAGAGCCUGAGGCAGUGCAACAGCAGGAACCAAUUGAUGCUGGAAAGCUGAUUUAAAGAUCUGCUGGGUGUCAGGCUUUUACUUUGGGACAUUUAAGACCCUGAUUUUAAUUCCUGGUCUUUAUUCCUCAACUUUUGUCAUUUGUUUUGUUUAUACUGUGAUUAAAGGUUUUGGUGUAAAACAA
This is a long non-coding RNA of Betta splendens (Siamese fighting fish), 486 nucleotides long. RefSeq lists it as uncharacterized. The transcript is spliced from 4 exons. NCBI's taxonomy places the organism in Eukaryota, Metazoa, Chordata, Actinopteri, Anabantiformes, Osphronemidae. The record is from RefSeq and is a predicted model, not a curated record.